This 509-nucleotide ribosomal RNA is filed under the name uncultured bacterium. Its description in RNAcentral is "partial 16S ribosomal RNA". It matches the Rfam family "Bacterial small subunit ribosomal RNA", at positions 28 to 507 of the family's 1533-position model. The record is from RNAcentral.
GACGAACGCUGGCGGCGUGCUUAACACAUGCAAGUCGAACGAAGAGCGAUGGAAGCUUGCUUCUAUCAAUCUUAGUGGCGAACGGGUGAGUAACGCGUAUCAACCUUCCCUUCAGAGGGGGACAACAGUUGGAAACGACUGCUAAUACCGCAUACGAUCUAAUCUCGGCAUCGAGGAUAGAUGAAAGGUUGCCUCUACAUGUAAGCUAUCACUGAAGGAGGGGAUUGCGUCUGAUUAGCUAGUUGGAGGGGUAACGGCCCACCAAGGCGAUGAUCAGUAGCCGGUCUGAGAGGAUGAACGGCCACAUUGGGACUGAGACACGGCCCAGACUCCUACGGGAGGCAGCAGUGGGGAAUCUUCCGCAAUGGACGAAAGUCUGACGGAGCAACGCCGCGUGAGUGAUGACGGCCUUCGGGUUGUAAAGCUCUGUUAAUCGGGACGAAAGGCCUUCUUGCGAAUAGGGAGAAGGAUUGACGGUACCGGAAGAGAAAGCCACGGCUAACUACGUG